UGGAAGAGAAUCGUCCCCGGUGGGGCGCCCGGACUUCAAACCCGGUGAAGUUUGUUACAAGACAGGCUUGGUGGGUUCGACUCCUGCCUCUUCCGCC
This 97-nucleotide transfer RNA is filed under the name Pseudohongiellaceae bacterium. RNAcentral's name for it is "tRNA-Sec". It matches the Rfam family "Selenocysteine transfer RNA". Lineage: Bacteria; Pseudomonadati; Pseudomonadota; Gammaproteobacteria; Pseudomonadales; Pseudohongiellaceae. RNAcentral also lists the same sequence under 1 other name. The record is from RNAcentral.